RNAcentral lists this ribosomal RNA (465 nucleotides) under uncultured bacterium. Its description in RNAcentral is "partial 16S ribosomal RNA". It matches the Rfam family "Bacterial small subunit ribosomal RNA", at positions 28 to 507 of the family's 1533-position model. The record is from RNAcentral.
GACGAACGCUGGCGGCGUGCUUAACACAUGCAAGUCGAACGGAAAGGCCCCUUUGGGGGUACUCGAGUGGCGAACGGGUGAGUAACACGUGAGUAACCUGCCCUUGACUUCGGGAUAACUUCAGGAAACUGGGGCUAAUACCGGAUAGGAAUCCUUGCUGCAUGGUGGGGGUUGGAAAGCUUCGGCGGUUUUGGAUGGACUCGCGGCUUAUCAGCUUGUUGGUGGGGUAGUGGCUUACCAAGGCUUUGACGGGUAGCCGGCCUGAGAGGGCGACCGGCCACAUUGGGACUGGGAGACGGCCCAGACUCCUACGGGAGGCAGCAGUGGGGAAUAUUGCACAAUGGGCGGAAGUCUGAUGCAGCAACGCCGCGUGCGGGAUGACGGCCUUCGGGUUGGAAACCGCGUUCAGCAGGGGCGAAGCUUGUGGUGACGGUACCUGCAGAAGAAGCACCGGCUAACUACGUG